GUGAAUCAUCGAAUUUUUGAACGCAAAUUGCGCUCCCUAGCAUUCCGGGAAGCAUGCCUGUUUGAGGAUCAGUAUUAUCAACAAAUCGGUUUUGUUGCAAAUUGUGCCGUUUUCGGAGUUUGGGCUUAUCUUAACUUUUUUGGUUCAGGGGCUUAAAAUUGACCUUUUUUGCGCAUUUUUAGUCGUACGUAAAUUUUUUUUUAUUCGUCUAUUCGUAAUGCCAAAAUCUUAUUAAAUCCGAUCGCAUCAU
This 250-nucleotide unclassified non-coding RNA is filed under the name Glomeraceae sp. RNAcentral's name for it is "partial contains 5.8S ribosomal RNA and internal transcribed spacer 2". The stretch from base 1 to 71 matches the Rfam family "5.8S ribosomal RNA", at positions 84 to 154 of the family's 154-position model. Lineage: Eukaryota; Fungi; Glomeromycota; Glomeromycetes; Glomerales; Glomeraceae. The record is from RNAcentral.